Molecule: ribosomal RNA, 1372 nt
Filed under: uncultured bacterium
Lineage: Bacteria
Description: bacterial SSU rRNA
Rfam family: Bacterial small subunit ribosomal RNA
Source: RNAcentral
GAUGAACGCUUGCGGCGUGCCUAAUACAUGCAAGUCGAGCGAACAGACGAGGAGCUUACUCCUCUGACGUUAGCGGCGGACGGGUGAGUAACACGUGGAUAACCUACCUAUAAGACUGGGAUAACUUCGGGAAACCGGAGCUAAUACCGGAUAACAUGUUGAACCGCAUGGUUCAACAGUGAAAGACGGUCUUGCUGUCACUUAUAGAUGGAUCCGCGUCGCAUUAGCUAGUUGGUAAGGUAACGGCUUACCAAGGCAACGAUGCGUAGCCGACCUGAGAGGGUGAUCGGCCACACUGGAACUGAGACACGGUCCAGACUCCUACGGGAGGCAGCAGUAGGGAAUCUUCCGCAAUGGGCGAAAGCCUGACGGAGCAACGCCGCGUGAGUGAAGAAGGUCUUCGGAUCGUAAAACUCUGUUAUUAGGGAAGAACAAAUGUGUAAGUAACUAUGCACGUCUUGACGGUACCUAAUCAGAAAGCCACGGCUAACUACGUGCCAGCAGCCGCGGUAAUACGUAGGUGGCAAGCGUUAUCCGGAAUUAUUGGGCGUAAAGCGCGCGUAGGCGGUUUUUUAAGUCUGAUGUGAAAGCCCACGGCUCAACCGUGGAGGGUCAUUGGAAACUGGAAAACUUGAGUGCAGAAGAGGAAAGUGGAAUUCCAUGUGUAGCGGUGAAAUGCGCAGAGAUAUGGAGGAACACCAGUGGCGAAGGCGACUUUCUGGUCUGUAACUGACGCUGAUGUGCGAAAGCGUGGGGAUCAAACAGGAUUAGAUACCCUGGUAGUCCACGCCGUAAACGAUGAGUGCUAAGUGUUAGGGGGUUUCCGCCCCUUAGUGCUGCAGCUAACGCAUUAAGCACUCCGCCUGGGGAGUACGACCGCAAGGUUGAAACUCAAAGGAAUUGACGGGGACCCUCACAAGCGGUGGAGCAUGUGGUUUAAUUCGAAGCAACGCGAAGAACCUUACCAAAUCUUGACAUCCUCUGACCCCUCUAGAGAUAGAGUUUUCCCCUUCGGGGGACAGAGUGACAGGUGGUGCAUGGUUGUCGUCAGCUCGUGUCGUGAGAUGUUGGGUUAAGUCCCGCAACGAGCGCAACCCUUAAGCUUAGUUGCCAUCAUUAAGUUGGGCACUCUAAGUUGACUGCCGGUGACAAACCGGAGGAAGGUGGGGAUGACGUCAAAUCAUCAUGCCCCUUAUGAUUUGGGCUACACACGUGCUACAAUGGACAAUACAAAGGGCAGCGAAACCGCGAGGUCAAGCAAAUCCCAUAAAGUUGUUCUCAGUUCGGACUGUAGUCUGCAACUCGACUACAUGAAGUUGGAAUCGCUAGUAAUCGUAGAUCAGCAUGCUACGGUGAAUACGUUCCCGGGUCC